RNAcentral lists this long non-coding RNA (709 nucleotides) under Pogona vitticeps (central bearded dragon). Its description in RNAcentral is "lncRNA (ENSPVIG00000018086.1)". The record is from RNAcentral. Lineage: Eukaryota; Metazoa; Chordata; Lepidosauria; Squamata; Agamidae.
CCUGUAAUGGUGCACAGACCUAAGUGGAAAUAAGUCCCAUUGUACUCACAUGACUUUCUUUCUGAAUAGAAACACAUAGGAUUGUGCUGUGAAUCUAUAGCCCUGUGCCCUCUUACCUAGUGAGAAGUGGGACUCUUUGUGACACACCAGCUACAGUGCCCAUAGCAACAGGACAACUCCUCCACCAAUUGUGACAUCAUGCCAACUGGUCUUCCCAGUAACUAUGUGUAACCACCAGUUCCCCAAUGGCUAUCACAAAAUGAGAAUCCUUCCUCCAGGCCUCCUUUCUGUCUCGCAAACUGGUUCUUUGGAUGAGACACCAAUUUAUUGUAAGCCUCAGUAGCAGUUUCAGAGGUUGCUGCAAGUGACUGAACCUUGCACUCAGCAUUUUCCUGAGCCUUCCCUGAACAACUCUAAAUUCAUCAUACUGUCCGAGAAUCUAAAACCUCCUAAUGGUGGUAGUCAUUUCCACCUGGAGAAUAUGUUGGCACCAGUGCAGAGAUGAUAUGCCUUUAAUGCUGUAAUGUUAGAACACUUUGCUCUUCAUUGAGGGUAGAGUAUUAAUUUAUGUAAUAGCCAUUUGAGCUAACUCUUGAACCCAAAGGAGUGUGAUUUAAUAUCAAAGAAAACAAUCUUAGAGCCAUCACCUUAAGAAGAAAUUCCAGAGGUGUAUUUUCUUCUGGAAUAAUAAAAGGAAUCCCUUUCCACA